GGGUGGAGGUGGGGACGGGCGGGGCCUGAGCCAGGCACGAAUGCACGAAUAUGAGUGCUAGCAAUAGCCAACAUGCCCUGAGAGCCAACCAGCUUGGACCAGGCUGACCCUGACAUGCACUAUUUGUUUUAAGUCUUCCAACAACCUGGCAGGGCAUAUUCCCACCCAUACAGAGGACACCGAGGCCCUGAGAGAUCAGGCAAUUUGCCCAAACAGCAGAGCCAGGGUUUGAACCCAAAUGUCUAUUGGUCAAUGUCUGUUGGGCGCACACAAGCGGUCAGUGGAGUGUGGUCCUUUGAUAAAUGUUGAGGUUGGAAUCAUAGGGUGAGAGGAAGACACAGGAGUGGGGAGAAGACAGAAGCAGGAGCCUGGCUGCGGGCCCCCCACGGCCUGGGCUCUGGGCUUCUCCAGCAAACCGCUGCCGUCCUGAGGGCCCAGGAACCUGGCUGCAGGCGCUUAGCCUCCACAGGGAGGAGAGAGAGAGAGCCCUGGGAAGAAGCCACUGCAGCAUGAAGGCCCUUCUGGGGCAGGAAGCCGCCUGGAGCCUGAGGCGCCACCUCCAGCCCAUGGCUUGGCCUCGUAUUUUCACCCCAGCCGCAGUUUCCCGGUCUGUCACCUAAGGAAGCAGUUCUGCCGGCUUCACCAAGCUGCUGUGGGGCCUGGAGAGGGAGGGGAAUGUGGGCUACAGGCUGGCCUGAAGCGUGCAUCAUCACACAGCAGCUGGCAUGCCACCCGUCACCUUCAGUUCCCUCUUCAGCAGAGGGGGAGAGGGCCAGGCAGAUGUGGGUGA
This 790-nucleotide long non-coding RNA is filed under the name Sus scrofa (pig). RNAcentral describes it as "lncRNA (ENSSSCG00025071099.1)". The record is from RNAcentral. Lineage: Eukaryota; Metazoa; Chordata; Mammalia; Artiodactyla; Suidae.